CUAACACAUGCAAGUCGAGCGGUAACAGAAAGUAGCUUGCUACUUUGCUGACGAGCGGCGGACGGGUGAGUAAUGCUUGGGAACAUGCCUUGAGGUGGGGGACAACAGUUGGAAACGACUGCUAAUACCGCAUAAUGUCUACGGACCAAAGGGGGCUUCGGCUCUCGCCUUUAGAUUGGCCCAAGUGGGAUUAGCUAGUUGGUGAGGUAAUGGCUCACCAAGGCGACGAUCCCUAGCUGGUUUGAGAGGAUGAUCAGCCACACUGGGACUGAGACACGGCCCAGACUCCUACGGGAGGCAGCAGUGGGGAAUAUUGCACAAUGGGCGCAAGCCUGAUGCAGCCAUGCCGCGUGUGUGAAGAAGGCCUUCGGGUUGUAAAGCACUUUCAGUCAGGAGGAAAGGUUAGUAGUUAAUACCUGCUAGCUGUGACGUUACUGACAGAAGAAGCACCGGCUAACUCCGUGCCAGCAGCCGCGGUAAUACGGAGGGUGCGAGCGUUAAUCGGAAUUACUGGGCGUAAAGCGUACGCAGGCGGUUUGUUAAGCGAGAUGUGAAAGCCCCGGGCUCAACCUGGGAACUGCAUUUCGAACUGGCAAACUAGAGUGUGAUAGAGGGUGGUAGAAUU
Molecule: ribosomal RNA, 625 nt
Filed under: bacterium 4753K4-B15
Lineage: Bacteria
Description: bacterial SSU rRNA
Rfam family: Bacterial small subunit ribosomal RNA
Source: RNAcentral